GCCUUCGUGGUGUAGUGGUCAGCACGCUCGACGCGUAACCGAGAGGUCCGUGGUUCGAUUCCCGGUGAAGGCG
Non-coding RNA from Stegodyphus mimosarum, 73 nucleotides. Lineage: Eukaryota; Metazoa; Arthropoda; Arachnida; Araneae; Eresidae. The record is from Rfam.